Molecule: long non-coding RNA, 2790 nt
Organism: Hypanus sabinus (Atlantic stingray)
Lineage: Eukaryota; Metazoa; Chordata; Chondrichthyes; Myliobatiformes; Dasyatidae
Exons: 6
Source: RefSeq, a predicted model, not a curated record
UGACGCAUGUUGUUUGAUAGCUCUCAACAAAGGCUUGUUUUUCUGUUUCUCCAAGAGUCGUCACCUUCUCAUGCUGGAGAGGCAUGUGAACACUUGCAAUCCUGAGAGCAAUGUCGUCUGGAGCUUAGCUCCUGAUGGGGCCAACCAUGGUGCAAUACAGUGACUUGAGUCAAGAAUGAUGUUCUCCUAAGGGGUUGUCUAUUGGUGGUUCCUCAGGAGGCUGUAGAGGCCAAUUGAAGACCCACAAAUUCUGGUGCAGUGUGGCAGAUGUUUCCAUUCCUGGGCAUUGGUGUUUCAGACCAGAUGGUGAUACAACCAAUUGCAAUACUCUCCAGCCAGAAGAAAUCAGUUGGGAGACACAAGACGAGAAACACUCUGCAGGCCAAGAUAGAGUGCACACGGAGAGGACAUUUCCAAUAGAGGGAGAGAAGAGGAUUGGAGGGCACAACCUCAGAAUACAAGGACAUCCCUUUAGAACAGAGGUGAAGAGGAAUUUUGUUCCCCAGAGGGUGGCAUGUAGGUAAAUGAGGAAGGCAGAUGGAAUUGGGCUCUGAGGAAAAUGCUUACAAAGGGCCUCGUCAUAGAGUCAUGGCCAUAGAGUACAGCACAGCAACAUGCACUUGGCUCAUCUAAUCCAUGCCAAAAACACUUAAACUGCCUACUCCCAUCGACCUGCGACUGGAUCAUUGCCCUCCAUAUCCCUAGAAUCCAUGUACAUCUUAUCAUCAGGCAGAUGACAUGAAGAUUGGUGGAGGGGCAAGCAUUGUUGAGGAAGCAGAUGCUGCCUGGCCUGCUUCAUUCCACCAGCAAUUUGUGUGUGUUGUUUGAAUUUCCAGCAUCUGCAGACUUCCUCAUGUUUGUAUCUACUAACCAGUAUCUCUUUGGACUGUGGGAAGAAACUGGAGCAGCUGGAGGGAAACCACAAGUACAUGGGAAGAACAUAGAAACUUUCUUACAGAGAAAGCUGGGGGAGGGGGGUGGUGUGUGUGUGUAUGUGUGUGUGUGUGUGUGUGUGUGUGUGUGAGAGAGAGAGAAAGAGAGAGUAGUGUGUGCGCACGCAUGCAUGGGAAAGACAAAUAUUACCUGCUGGGUCAAGAAGCACCUUAGAAAUUGUUCAAAUUUCAGGUUGACGUCCUACACCAGGACCCAAAAUCAAAUUUCAACCCAAAAUGCUGACAACCCCUUUCCCCACCCCCUCACCCUCUGAUGCCGAGCUCCUCCAGUUAGUUGCUUCAGAUUCCAGCAUCUACAGUCUCUUCUGUCUCCAGAGAGCUAAUUAGCUAAGCAUCUAUUAUAAUUGAUUACUUCUCUUCCAUGUGUUAAUGUUAUUAGUUAUUCUCUUAGGAAAUUUGAUCACCAUUCACAUCUCACUACAUAGUGGAUUAAAAACAUGACAAUAAUGUUGUCAUAAUAGCAAGUGUGGAUGAGAUAUUUAUCUGCUUGAGAUGAAUGUGCUUUUGAAAUAGAUUAAAACUUUAAAAAUGGUGUUAAUGAGGAUAUUCCAACAGGACUUCUUAUUUGCAUAUUUAUUGUUAAUAAGUACUUUACAGCCUCAUUCUUUGUAACAUAUAGCUUAUUGGUCCAAACCUUUACAAAUUGUAGUGAAAUAUUAUAAACUUAAAACUUUAUCUGUACUUAGCUCUCCACAUAUGCCGUUGGACCUGCUGAGCCUUACCAGCAUUGUGUGUUUUAUUCUCAAAUUCAGUUUGUGUAUUUCUGAACAUGAUAUACUGUAAGUUCAAAUAUAUUAUCAUUCAACCAUACACAUGUAUACUGUCAAAAAAAUGGAGGAUACCAGCCUCCAAAAUGCAGGGCCUACAGAGUAAGGAGCUGUCCAUAGCUGGAGACAGGCAUGUUCAAGUUUAUUGUUAUUCAACUAUAUACCAUCAAACAAAACAACAUUCCUCUGGAACAAAGUGCACAACACAGUACAUAUAACUCACACACAACACAUAAAGUAAUAUUAUUCACUAGUAAAUUAACAAAUAAUAAAACCUAUUCCAAAAGAUUGAUAUUUAGCAGAAGUGCAUUUAUGACACAAGUUAAGGAGUAAACAGUAUAACGCUACUGGCACUUCAUGAGUGAUGAGACCGGGGGAGUGGCUGGGAGUUCAGUAGUCUUAUGUCCCGGGGGAAGAUGCUGCUUCCCAUCUGAAAAGUCCUUGACCUAAUGCUAUAGUAUCUUCUGCCUGAUGUUAGGGGUUCAAAGGGGACCAAUAGGACUGAUCCUUAACAAUGAUAAGCGCCCUGUGUACACAGCGCUUCUAAUAAAUUUCUCUAAUGGCUGAAGAUGAGGCCCCAUUGUUUCUCUCAGCAGUCCUUGCAAUCUGUUGUAGGGUGCUGUGGUCAAAUGAUUUAUAAUUCCCGUACUAGACAGUGACGUAGCUGGUCAGGACACUCUUGGUGGCACUCCUACAAAAAUUGGCUAGAUUAGGGCUGAGGUCAGGGGGGAUGGUGGAAGCCUCAUUUGCCUCAGUAUCCUCAGGAAGUGAAGACGCUGCGGUGCUUUCUUGAUUAAAGAGGUAGAUUUGAGGGACCAGGUGAGAUUGUCCAUUAUAUGCACUUCCAGAAACUUGGUGUUCCUAACACUCUUCACAGAAGAGCUGUGUGAGGGGUGCAGUGCGAAACAUAGAAACACAGAAGUAGGCCAUUCAGCCCUUCGAACCUGUACCGCCAUUCAGAAUGAUCAUGGCUGAUCAUCCAAAACAGAAUCCUGUACCUGCUUUCUCUGAAGGUGAAGGAGUGCAAUGACAAGGUAGAGGAGUGAAGUGAGAAGGUAGAGGAGUGAAGU